This 66-nucleotide transfer RNA is filed under the name Rhombosepion orbignyanum. Its description in RNAcentral is "tRNA-Asn". Lineage: Eukaryota; Metazoa; Mollusca; Cephalopoda; Sepiida; Sepiidae. The record is from RNAcentral.
CAGUGAAAAGCCAAAUAGAGGCCUUUAACUGUUAAUUAAAUAAUUGUAAUUAUAUUACUUCACUGG